GGAUGUGAGGGUUAUUUGGAUGUGACAUCUGUCACCCUACUGAUCAAGGAGGUUGAUUCGGCUGAUCUGGGUGGCUAGUGGCUUCUCUCAGGGCUCCAGGUGUGUUUGAGGACGACCUUUGCAGAACAGAGGCGGACUUGUCUUCAGUCAAAGGUGUAAGAGUGGUGGGGCUCUCCUGCUAGAACCUUUAAACAAUCUCUCAAGACCUAUUUAUGAGACUGGUUCCCCAUUUCCUGUCAACUCCUGCUCAUUAACUGAGUA
This 261-nucleotide small nuclear RNA is filed under the name Erinaceus europaeus (western European hedgehog). Its description in RNAcentral is "7SK RNA". It matches the Rfam family "7SK RNA". Rfam says of the family: 7SK was discovered as an abundant small nuclear RNA in the mid-70s but a possible function has only recently been suggested. Two independent studies have found that 7SK RNA binds the CDK9/cyclin T complex (known as elongation factor P-TEFb). Lineage: Eukaryota; Metazoa; Chordata; Mammalia; Eulipotyphla; Erinaceidae. The record is from Rfam by way of RNAcentral.